This 59-nucleotide transfer RNA is filed under the name Mesocricetus auratus (golden hamster). It matches the Rfam family "tRNA", at positions 8 to 63 of the family's 71-position model. From Rfam's summary of the family: Transfer RNA (tRNA) molecules are approximately 80 nucleotides in length. Their secondary structure includes four short double-helical elements and three loops (D, anti-codon, and T loops). Further hydrogen bonds mediate the characteristic L-shaped molecular structure. tRNAs have two regions of fundamental functional importance: the anti-codon, which is responsible for specific mRNA codon recognition, and the 3' end, to which the tRNAs corresponding amino acid is attached (by aminoacyl-tRNA synthetases). tRNAs cope with the degeneracy of the genetic code in two manners: having more than one tRNA (with a specific anti-codon) for a particular amino acid; and 'wobble' base-pairing, i.e. permitting non-standard base-pairing at the 3rd anti-codon position. Lineage: Eukaryota; Metazoa; Chordata; Mammalia; Rodentia; Cricetidae. The record is from Rfam by way of RNAcentral.
UGGCUCAGAGGUUAAGAGCACUGGCUGCCUAUUCCAGAGGUCCUGGGUUCAAAUCCCAG